CUUAAUCUGUUUAGCUUUAACCAUAUUUGUACCAUUUUGCCCCUGAUAUUUACUCAUAUCUGUUAGGUUAUUUUCUCAUACCCAUGCAGCCUUAUAAUGGUUUUCAUUGCCCAAAAGUAUGAUGCUAUUAGAUGGAAUUAAAAUUUAAAAGUGUGGGGGAGGUUUGUUUUGUUUUAGAUUUUUUAUAAAGAUAUUUCAUUUCACAUAUGUCAAUCUGCCUACCUGUAUUCAACUACCAAAUAUAUUCUUAUUAUAUCUGUUUUUACAUGAAUGGCCCCUGUAAUUUCAAAUUUAACCUACUCGGUUCUUUUUUUCCUAAUAAGACUUAAAUGGCAGCCUACUUCUCAUCUAUAGCAACAUACUUUGCAGCCUACUUUUUUUUUUUAAUGUAAAGUUAUAUCAUCGUACUAUAGAAAUGUCCAUCAAAAUUAGCUUUAAUCAUUGUACUAUAGAAAUUUUAAGAUAAAUAAAAAAUAGGGUGCUAUUAAAUGGAACGAUGAUAUAACUUUACAUUAAAAAAAAGGUUGAAAAUAUACAAAUAUUAGGGCUUUCGCCUAAUUUUCUACAUAGUUAAUUUACGUAACUUUUUUUUUUCAAUCUUUCAGGAAAGAUGUGUCCACAAUAGAUUACGUUUUCUGAAACAAGUUAUUCCACAAGCAAAACAUCCUCACUCGAGCAAAAGGACAACUGGACAAGACUCUUUUAGUCUAAACAAAUUAGGAUCCAAUAUAUAUUGUAACAAUGAAUUUACACUGGAACAAAUAAACGGGUGAACAACGUGUGACAGCUAAAAAAGUAGCAAUACCUUGUGUACUUCAAUUUCAUACUAAGAAUUGAUUUUAACUGAUUUCUCAUUGUGACCGCAAAUGUGUCGACUAGCCUUUUUCCUUACCAAUUUCCUUGAAUAGUUAUAAUUCAAACGUCUGAAGAUUUUAUAUUAUGUGAAUUCAUGAAAAAAGACAAACCAUCCACCAACUUUAUCAGAGGGUAGGACAACAUAGACGAUGGUCCAGUGCCUCCAAAUUUCGGGGGCCUAUUUUUAUAUAUCUACUUAUAUUAUUUUAAAAAUAAAAAAGCUUUUGGUAUUAAGUCAUCGCAAACAGAGACAAAAAAAAAAGACCUGAUUUUUUUUUUGCUCGGGCUUCAAAUCGGCUUGAGUCGGCUCUAUUUCUAUAAAAAAACAUCAUAUGUUUGUAAACUAUCGUCUCUAGCACAUUUUUGCGAACAUAUCCAUGAAAUUGAAUCACCAUCAAAGCAUCAUCAAAAUUGUUUCAUUGAAAUUAACAUAUAUUUGAUUUAGCAAAGUGCUCUGUAAAACUCCGACUUUAAGUAAUUAUUUGACUCGUAAUUAUAAUGCUAAACAUAGUCCAAGUGUCUCAAGAGGAAAAGGAUCAAGUUUGAAAAUGUUUAUUCUACCAAAUACCAAUAAAAUUGUGUUAUCCACAUAAAAAAUGGCUAAUAGACACCGGCAAUUCCAACAUUACUUUUGUUGGGGCACUUUUUAAUCUUUUCAAAAACAUAAAAAACUUUUUAAGUAAACUUUAGAAUUAGUAAGGUAUUCAUACGUAAUUUUGUUUAGUCACUGGGGGGCAUGUGCCCCCCUCUCAAAGCCUUAGAUCCGUCAAUGCUAAUAGACCUUUCUCGACCUUCAUUACACCUUAGUUACCAAAUUUAAGUCUAUAUAUUUUGCUAAGUAUGAACAAUGUAUUUUGUGUUUCAUUAGACUCAUAAUAUAUGUUAUUAAACAUAAUCUAAGUAUUUAAAAUGGAAAAUAAAAGUUUUUGAAAGGUUUAUACAUACAAAAUCAUGUUGUUAAUAUGAUAAUAACAUAAUCUAAGUAUUUAAAACGAUAUAAACUUCUUUGAGGGGAAUCUAGUGUGGAUGCUUAUGCCAUAGAUAAUAAAUUAUAAACUCCAUUGAUAGCAUCUAAUACGAAAAUAACAACACUAUAUUGUUGAAGUUAUUAUUCGAAUUUCUAUGAAUCUAGAAGUCAUAGGAGUUUCCUUUCUCUACAAGUUUCCUUAGUGUAUUAGGAGUUAUAUAUUACCGAGUUAAAGAUAAUACAUAGAAACAAAUUAUAAUUUGAGUUUUGAGUUAUUUUCUCAAUAAAAAUCAGAGAGUUAUUCUGGUUAUCUUUUCUUCCAAGUUUUGAUUUUAGUUCUUUAAUCGGUAUUAGAGCUUCAAGGAUAACCACCAAACAUUGAUAAGCCAUGACUGGUGAAGUACAUCAUUCGAGUGGGAAAGAAGGCGGAACGACUUAUGUUCAGUGUUCCAUGUUUAUCUCCACGAACUACAUCGUCUGGGCUAUGCGUAUGAAGGUUGUAAUGCGAAUCCACAAGGCAUGAGAGACGAUCGAUCUAGGCACUAUGACCUCUAACACCGAAAAGAAUGAUCUAGUGUGAGUUUGUUAUAUCAAUCUAUUCCAGAAACUUUGAUCAUGCAACUUGGCGAGAAAGCAACUGUGAAAACCCUUUGGGAAGCGAUCAAGGCACGAGAUGUAGAAGAUGAACGUGUGAAAGAGGCCCAAGUAUAUACUCUAAUGUCUGACUUCGAUCGUCUCAAGUGUUGGAUUAAGUGUCUAAGCCAAUAACUAAAUUAAUAUAAUCUUGAAUUAUUAGCAAAGACCUUUUGGGUAGCCCUCAAACCUAGUAAUUAACUGAAAUGUUUUCUUGGUGAGAGAGACUGAUUUAUUAAUUUAUUAUAUGAUUAAUAAAUUAAUUAGAAAUCAAAAUAAAUGAUUUAUUAAUAUAUUAUGAGAAUAGUAUAUUAAUUAGAAAUAGUAUUGUUUGAUUAAAAAUUAAUCAGAAAUUAAUUGGAAUUAAUUGGAUUAAUUAAAAGUAGAAGGACAAAUUGUGACAAUCUUCAAAAAUUGAAUAUUGACCAAUUAUAGAAUCUUCCAUAGAGGGGAUGGUUUCUAGAGGAGGUUAUAGAGGUAAUCUUGGGCUCUAAGGAAACUUAGAAUGCCUUAGGGAGGAAACAAGAGGAUUAAGGUUAUCUAAAAGGAACAUGCAAAACAUCAAUAUGGCUCUUCGAUACGAGGGCAAAGAGUAUGUCAUUAAGAAACAACUCGUUAAGAUCAAUGAGGUCAUUGCUACUCCUGAAGAAAUAGCCUUCUACAAGAAACACUAUGACGACGCGACUAAGGUUGCUUACAUCAUGGUUGCCGCCAUGAUUCCUGAGUUGCAAGAGUUCUAUGAGGACUACUGACCAUUCAAGAUGAACUUUGAUCUUGUGGAAAAGUUUCACAAAAGAAUGAGAGUUUAUCUGCAACCAUAUGCAAAGAAUGCAAAGAUACGUGGAGCGCCUUGAAAGGAUAAAUGUGAACUUCUAAGAGGAUUUGGCCAUUAACAUGGUCCAUAACUCCUUGCCUCCUUGUUACGAUUAGUUCAUUCUGGCUUAUCAUUUGAACAACAUAGAGAGCACAUAGACCCAACUCCACAACCUGUUGCGAAUAGCUAGGUCAAGAAUGAAGAAGAAUCAAACUCUUAACUCUACUAAUGCUCUUGUCCUUGCCAUUGGAAAAAAGAAAAGAAAGAAAAGGAAAGUUCUCCUAAGUAGAAUUGGAAAGGCAAGGCCCAUGUUGGGCCAUCUAGCAAUGAUCCAAAAGCAAAUCCCAGUUCUGAUAUUCCUUUUGUUAGUGAUCCCAAAUAGGCCAUUUUCUUAUAUUUAAAUGAUAAGAACCAUUGGAAAAGAAGCAGCCCCAAGUACUUGCAGGACAUCAAUGAUGGCAAAGUGAAGCCAUCGUCAGCAGGUAUUUACAUUAUUCAAACUAAUAACUCACAACCUACUCGUUCUUGGGUCCUUGAUACAAGAUUUGGUUCUUACAUUUGUUCUGAUUUGUAGGGACUAAGAGAAAGUGAAGAGAUGGAGCAUGGAAGAAUGAAUCUAAUCAUGGGAAAUACACAAUCUUCUCCUGUUGCCAAGAUUGGAACUUAUAGUCUUAUGCUUAGUAGUGAUAUUAUAUUAGAUUUAAUUAAUUAUUGCUAUUCGUCAGAAAUGACGCGAAACAUUAUUUCUUUUCAUGCAAUUUUUAGACAAGAUUUUCAAUAUUCGUUUAGUGACAUGAAUGGAU
Molecule: long non-coding RNA, 4072 nt
Filed under: Lactuca sativa (garden lettuce)
Lineage: Eukaryota; Viridiplantae; Streptophyta; Magnoliopsida; Asterales; Asteraceae
Description: long non-coding RNA (LSAT_LNC001998)
Source: RNAcentral